RNAcentral lists this transfer-messenger RNA (355 nucleotides) under Phycisphaerales bacterium. It matches the Rfam family "transfer-messenger RNA". Rfam says of the family: Bacterial tmRNA, also known as 10Sa RNA or SsrA, is named for its dual tRNA and mRNA-like properties. Its role is to liberate the mRNA from a stalled ribosome. To accomplish this part of the tmRNA is used as a reading frame that ends in a translation stop signal. Lineage: Bacteria; Pseudomonadati; Planctomycetota; Phycisphaerae; Phycisphaerales. RNAcentral also lists the same sequence under 1 other name. The record is from RNAcentral.
GGGGGCGAAAGGCUUCGACCGGAUAGGAUGACGGUCAGGCGGCGUGUCCAGGAUGACGGUUGGCCUGGUAAAUCAUCCGUCACGAACAAUAACUGGCAACUACCAGUAUGCAAUGGCUGCGUAAAUAACCAGCCCGUCCCGGCAGACCUUGUUCGCGGGUUUGCCCCGGACGUCGGAAAGCGAACUGGCCUGCGGGUGUGUUUGCGGCCCAAAGGCGAGACCUUAGCAAAAUAGUGAGUACCGAAGCCUGUCGUUCGGCGUCGGUGCGAGCGAACUUUCAAUAGAGCGACUAUGCACGUAGAAGUCUGGCCUGAAAUAUCACGGGACGGGGGUUCGACUCCCCCCGCCUCCAUUU